RNAcentral lists this ribosomal RNA (460 nucleotides) under uncultured bacterium. RNAcentral describes it as "partial 16S ribosomal RNA". It matches the Rfam family "Bacterial small subunit ribosomal RNA", at positions 338 to 795 of the family's 1533-position model. The record is from RNAcentral.
CCUACGGGCGGCAGCAGUGAGGAAUAUUGGUCAAUGGACGGAAGUCUGAACCAGCCAUGCCGCGUGCAGGAAGACGGCCCUAUGAGUUGUAAACUGCUUUUGUACAAGGGUAAACCUGAAUACGUGUAUUCAGCUGAAAGUACUGUACGAAUAAGGAUCGGCUAACUCCGUGCCAGCAGCCGCGGUAAUACGGAGGAUCCAAGCGUUAUCCGGAUUUAUUGGGUUUAAAGGGUGCGUAGGCGGAGUGAUAAGUUAGCUGUGAAAUGUCCGAGCUUAACUCGGGAACUGCCUCUAAUACUGUUGGUCUAGAGAGUAGAUGCGGUAGGCGGAAUGUAUGGUGUAGCGGUGAAAUGCUUAGAGAUCAUACAGAACACCGAUUGCGAAGGCAGGUGACCAAGCUGUAUCUGACGUUGAGGCACGAAAGCGUGGGGAGCAAACAGGAUUAGAUACCCUUGUAGUC